Molecule: ribosomal RNA, 473 nt
Filed under: Escherichia coli
Lineage: Bacteria; Pseudomonadati; Pseudomonadota; Gammaproteobacteria; Enterobacterales; Enterobacteriaceae
Description: partial 23S ribosomal RNA
Rfam family: Bacterial large subunit ribosomal RNA
Source: RNAcentral
AUAAGUAACGAUAAAGCGGGUGAAAAGCCCGCUCGCCGGAAGACCAAGGGUUCCUGUCCAACGUUAAUCGGGGCAGGGUGAGUCGACCCCUAAGGCGAGGCCGAAAGGCGUAGUCGAUGGGAAACAGGUUAAUAUUCCUGUACUUGGUGUUACUGCGAAGGGGGGACGGAGAAGGCUAUGUUGGCCGGGCGACGGUUGUCCCGGUUUAAGCGUGUAGGCUGGUUUUCCAGGCAAAUCCGGAAAAUCAAGGCUGAGGCGUGAUGACGAGGCACUACGGUGCUGAAGCAACAAAUGCCCUGCUUCCAGGAAAAGCCUCUAAGCAUCAGGUAACAUCAAAUCGUACCCCAAACCGACACAGGUGGUCAGGUAGAGAAUACCAAGGCGCUUGAGAGAACUCGGGUGAAGGAACUAGGCAAAAUGGUGCCGUAACUUCGGGAGAAGGCACGCUGAUAUGUAGGUGAAGUCCCUCGCGG